UAGGGAAUCUUCGGCAAUGGACGAAAGUCUGACCGAGCAACGCCGCGUGAGUGAAGAAGGUUUUUGGAUCGUAAAACUCUGUUGUUAGAGAAGAACAAGGACGUUAGUAACUGAACGUCCCCUGACGGUAUCUAACCAGAAAGCCACGGCUAACUACGUGCCAGCAGCCGCGGUAAUACGUAGGUGGCAAGCGUUGUCCGGGUUUAUUGGGCGUAAAGCGAGCGCAGGCGGUUUCUUAAGUCGGAUGUGAAAGCCCCCGGCUCAACCGGGGAGGGACAUUAGAGACUGGGAGACUUGAGUGCAGAAGAGGAGAGUAGAAUUCCAUGUGUAGCGGUGAAAUGCGUAGAUAUAUGGAGGAACACCAGUGGCGAAGGCGGCUCUCUGGUCUGUAACUGACGCUGAGGCUCGAAAGCGUGGGGGGCAAACAGG
Molecule: ribosomal RNA, 429 nt
Filed under: Gemmatimonadota bacterium
Lineage: Bacteria; Pseudomonadati; Gemmatimonadota
Description: Gemmatimonadetes bacterium partial 16S ribosomal RNA
Rfam family: Bacterial small subunit ribosomal RNA
Source: RNAcentral